Molecule: small nucleolar RNA, 101 nt
Filed under: Hydnomerulius pinastri MD-312
Lineage: Eukaryota; Fungi; Basidiomycota; Agaricomycetes; Boletales
Description: Small nucleolar RNA snR60/Z15/Z230/Z193/J17
Rfam family: Small nucleolar RNA snR60/Z15/Z230/Z193/J17
About the family: The members of this family belong to the C/D class of snoRNAs which contain the C (UGAUGA) and D (CUGA) box motifs. Most of the members of the box C/D family function in directing site-specific 2'-O-methylation of substrate RNAs.
Source: Rfam by way of RNAcentral
UCCGUCAUUUGAUGAAACACAAAAAUCAAGCAUAGUUCACACUGAAACUAUCGUGUUGACAACCAAGCAUCACGUCUUUCGCUCCUAUCUGAUAUUUCCUC